GGAUGCCAGUUAAAUUGGAAUUUCAGAUAAACCAUGAACAAUGUUUGAGUGUAAGUAUGUCCCAUGCAAUAUUUGGGACAUACUUACACUAAAACAUUAUUGCAUGGGACAUACUUCUACUCAAA
Molecule: microRNA precursor, 125 nt
Filed under: Chlorocebus sabaeus (green monkey)
Lineage: Eukaryota; Metazoa; Chordata; Mammalia; Primates; Cercopithecidae
Description: miRNA (ENSCSAG00000021095.1)
Rfam family: mir-1302 microRNA precursor family (bases 43-94)
Source: RNAcentral